UACGUAGGGGGCAAGCGUUGUCCGGAAUCAUUGGGCGUAAAGAGCGUGUAGGUGGCUCGGUAAGUCCGCUGUGAAAGUCCAGGGCUCAACCCUGGAAUGCCGGUGGAAACUGUCGAGCUAGAGUCCGGAAGAGGCGAGUGGAAUUCCUGGUGUAGCGGUGAAAUGCGCAGAUAUCAGGAGGAACACCAAUGGCGAAGGCAGCACUCUGGGACGGUACUGACGCUGAGACGCGAAAGCGUGGGGAGCGAACAGG
Molecule: ribosomal RNA, 253 nt
Filed under: uncultured bacterium
Lineage: Bacteria
Description: partial 16S ribosomal RNA
Rfam family: Bacterial small subunit ribosomal RNA
Source: RNAcentral